CAGUAGCCGCGGUAAUACGAAGGGGGCUAGCGUUGCUCGGAAUCACUGGGCGUAAAGGGCUCGCAGGCGGUUUCUUAAGUCUGAUGUGAAAGCCCCCGGCUCAACCGGGGAGGGUCAUUGGAAACUGGGAAACUUGAGUGCAGAAGAGGAGAGUGGAAUUCCACGUGUAGCGGUGAAAUGCGUAGAGAUGUGGAGGAACACCAGUGGCGAAGGCGACUCUCUGGUCUGUAACUGACGCUGAGGAGCGAAAGCGUGGGGAGCGAACAGGAUUAGAUACCCGUGUAGUCCCUGUCUCUUAUAC
RNAcentral lists this ribosomal RNA (301 nucleotides) under uncultured bacterium. RNAcentral describes it as "partial 16S ribosomal RNA". It matches the Rfam family "Bacterial small subunit ribosomal RNA", at positions 509 to 807 of the family's 1533-position model. The record is from RNAcentral.